RNAcentral lists this ribosomal RNA (253 nucleotides) under uncultured bacterium. RNAcentral's name for it is "partial 16S ribosomal RNA". It matches the Rfam family "Bacterial small subunit ribosomal RNA", at positions 524 to 776 of the family's 1533-position model. The record is from RNAcentral.
UACGUAGGGGGCGAGCGUUAUCCGGAUUUACUGGGCGUAAAGCGCGUUAAGGCGGUUGGCAAAGUUGGUUGUGAAAUCUCAGGGCUCAACCCUAGAACUGCGACCAAUACUGGUUGACUAGAGUGUGAGAGAGGAAGGUGGAAUUCCCGGUGUAGUAGUGAAAUGCGUAGAUAUCGGGAGGAACACCAGUGGCGAAGGCGGCCUUCUGGCUCAUAACUGACGCUGUAGCGCGAAAGCGUGGGGAGCGAACCGG